Molecule: transfer RNA, 69 nt
Filed under: Scinax sp. KAV19
Lineage: Eukaryota; Metazoa; Chordata; Amphibia; Anura; Hylidae
Description: tRNA-Val
Rfam family: tRNA
About the family: Transfer RNA (tRNA) molecules are approximately 80 nucleotides in length. Their secondary structure includes four short double-helical elements and three loops (D, anti-codon, and T loops).
Source: RNAcentral
CAAAGUGUAGCUUAAUUAAAGCUUCUCGCUUACACCGAGAGCAUAUCUGUUAAACUCAGAUCACCUUGA